Long non-coding RNA from Cucumis sativus (cucumber), 1000 nucleotides. RefSeq lists it as uncharacterized. The transcript is spliced from 2 exons. NCBI's taxonomy places the organism in Eukaryota, Viridiplantae, Streptophyta, Magnoliopsida, Cucurbitales, Cucurbitaceae. The record is from RefSeq and is a predicted model, not a curated record.
UUGAAAAUAUGGCUUAGUAGGUUUUUAUUUUGUUAUAAAUGCUUACAGUUCCCAGUGAACUGAAAAGAAAAGGGAAAAUAAAAGAGAAAAGAAAAUAAAUUUGGACCCUUCUUCUCUCCACGUUUGAACCCAGCCAUUGCCCAUUGUGCAUCUUUGUUCGUCCGGCCAUACCACUCCCAGCCACUUUGUCCAACCAACCGGAGCCCGACCCGAAGCUUUUGACCGUGUCGCACAUGAAGCCCAGCAGUGUCCAUUCGUGAGCCGCGAGUCACCUCCUCCAUUCAAGCCAUGUUGUGUGCCAUUCCCUAACCAAAUUAAUGUCGAGUGGGGGAUCUGAGCCUUGUCCUCACUGAUGAGUCAUGUUCGCCAUCGCUAUGCUCUCCAUUGGUGUUUUGGGUACUUGAAGGGUAAAUCUGAAUUUGGAAUUUUCUACAAGAGAGGAGGAGAUGAAAGACUUGUGCCUACACAGACAAUGACUAUGUCGAAGGACUUGGAUGACAGGAAAAACACUUCAUAAUGUGUUUCUUCUAUGUUCAAGAGUAGUAGCCUGACAUUUUCUAAGAAGCAGCCAGUGGUGAGUUUAUCCACUACAGAAGUCGAAUUCAUUGCUGCUACAUUAUGUGCAUGUCAAGCAAUAUGGUUGAAAAGGGUUUUGGCAAAGUUGAGUUGGAAGUAAUAAGAAGUUGCAACUAUUUUUUGCGACAACUUAGUGAUUAAACUUUCAAGAAAUCCAACAAUGCAUAAUUGCAUGAAGCAUAUAGAUUUUUUCUUUCUGGCCAUUCUGCUGAGGUGAAUGUGUGGCAGGAAAAAAUCUUUUGAUACCUUAUUCCUCACAAUAAUUUGUAAAAGUGAUUCACAUGUAUUCUUCACCACUAUCUGAUCAUAAGGCCUUGAUGUAAAGAUUGGUUGUCUUUUCUAACCAUCACCUUGAAUUUCUUGAAUACUUCAAAUGCUUCUAACUUUGCCUUGAUGUAAAAAUUAGUCGUCUUUUCUACCAUCA